GAGGUGCUGUCCUACUGCUGGCAGUCUCAUCAUGUGGCACAAGGCUUAAAAACAGGACACAGUUCAAUCACCUUUUUCAGUCUGUAACAGCUUGUAACUCCAAAAAGGGCUUCUUAAAACGACACUAAUUUCUCCUUCGUCUAAGUCCAGCUAAGCAGCAGGGCGCUUCUGGAAAGGAGAACUACACAAAGAGCUUGUGAUGCCAUCACCUAACUGAAAUCGUACCUUGAUGCUCUUUCUGUCUAAAGAACAGGUAAAUUAAAGAACAAGUUCAAUUUUCA
This is a long non-coding RNA of Neopsephotus bourkii (Bourke's parrot), 281 nucleotides long. RefSeq lists it as uncharacterized. NCBI's taxonomy places the organism in Eukaryota, Metazoa, Chordata, Aves, Psittaciformes, Psittacidae. The transcript is spliced from 2 exons. The record is from RefSeq and is a predicted model, not a curated record.